GCCAGGCACGGUGGCGGGUGCCUGUAAUCCCGUCUACUUGGGAGGCUGAGGCAGGAGAAUUGCUUGAACCCGGGAGGCAGAGUUUGCAGUGAGCUGAGAUCGCGCCACUGCACUCUAGCCUGGGUGACAGAGCAAGACUCUGUCUCAA
Macaca fascicularis (crab-eating macaque) is the source of this 148-nucleotide unclassified non-coding RNA. It matches the Rfam family "Metazoan signal recognition particle RNA". From Rfam's summary of the family: The signal recognition particle (SRP) is a universally conserved ribonucleoprotein. It is involved in the co-translational targeting of proteins to membranes. Lineage: Eukaryota; Metazoa; Chordata; Mammalia; Primates; Cercopithecidae. The record is from Ensembl.